This 135-nucleotide non-coding RNA is filed under the name Novibacillus thermophilus. RNAcentral describes it as "FMN sequence". It matches the Rfam family "FMN riboswitch aptamer (RFN element)". Rfam says of the family: The RFN element is a highly conserved domain that is found frequently in the 5'-untranslated regions of prokaryotic mRNAs that encode for flavin mononucleotide (FMN) biosynthesis and transport proteins. This element is a metabolite-dependent riboswitch that directly binds FMN in the absence of proteins. In Bacillus subtilis, the riboswitch most likely controls gene expression by causing premature transcription termination within the 5' untranslated region of the ribDEAHT operon and precluding access to the ribosome-binding site of ypaA mRNA. Lineage: Bacteria; Bacillati; Bacillota; Bacilli; Caryophanales; Thermoactinomycetaceae. The record is from Rfam by way of RNAcentral.
CGAAUCCUUCGGGGCAGGGUGAAAUUCCCGACCGGCGGUGAUGGUGUAGCGACACCUCAGCCCGUGACCCGCGCAAGCGGUGGACUCGGUGAAAUUCCGGGGCCGACAGUAUAGUCUGGAUGGGAGAAGGAUGAU